GAUGAACGCUGGCGGCGUGCCUAAUACAUGCAAGUCGAGCGAACGGACGAGAAGCUUGCUUCUCUGAUGUUAGCGGCGGAAGGGUGAGUAAAACGUGGAUAACCUACCUAUAAGACUGGGAUAACUUCGGGAAACCGGAGCUAAUACCGGAUAAUAUUUUGAACCGCAUGGUUCAAAAGUGAAAGACGGUCUUGCUGUCACUUAUAGAUGGAUCCGCGCUGCAUUAGCUAGUUGGUAAGGUAACGGCUUACCAAGGCAACGAUGCAUAGCCGACCUGAGAGGGUGAUCGGCCACACUGGAACUGAGACACGGUCCAGACUCCUACGGGAGGCAGCAGUAGGGAAUCUUCCGCAAUGGGCGAAAGCCUGACGGAGCAACGCCGCGUGAGUGAUGAAGGUCUUCGGAUCGUAAAACUCUGUUAUUAGGGAAGAACAUAUGUGUAAGUAACUGUGCACAUCUUGACGGUACCUAAUCAGAAAGCCACGGCUAACUACGUG
RNAcentral lists this ribosomal RNA (497 nucleotides) under uncultured bacterium. RNAcentral describes it as "partial 16S ribosomal RNA". It matches the Rfam family "Bacterial small subunit ribosomal RNA", at positions 28 to 507 of the family's 1533-position model. The record is from RNAcentral.